CCUACGGGUGGCAGCAGUGAGGAAUAUUGGUCAAUGGCCGAGAGGCUGAACCAGCCAAGUCGCGUGAGGGAAGACGGCCCUACGGGUUGUAAACCUCUUUUGUCGGGGAGCAAAGCGAACCACGUGUGGUUCAUUGAGAGUACCCGAAGAAAAAGCAUCGGCUAACUCCGUGCCAGCAGCCGCGGUAAUACGGAGGAUGCGAGCGUUAUCCGGAUUUAUUGGGUUUAAAGGGUGCGUAGGCGGGCAUUUAAGCCGGCGGGCAAAUGUCGGGGCUCAACCCCGGCCUGCCGUCGGAACUGGGUGCCUUGAGUGGGCGAGAAGUAUGCGGAAUGCGUGGUGUAGCGGUGAAAUGCAUAGAUAUCACGCAGAACCCCGAUUGCGAAGGCAGCAUACCGGCGCCCUACUGACGCUGAGGCACGAAAGUGCGGGUAUCGAACAGGAUUAGAUACCCCUGUAGUC
RNAcentral lists this ribosomal RNA (459 nucleotides) under uncultured bacterium. RNAcentral's name for it is "partial 16S ribosomal RNA". It matches the Rfam family "Bacterial small subunit ribosomal RNA", at positions 338 to 795 of the family's 1533-position model. The record is from RNAcentral.